RNAcentral lists this ribosomal RNA (255 nucleotides) under uncultured bacterium. RNAcentral's name for it is "partial 16S ribosomal RNA". It matches the Rfam family "Bacterial small subunit ribosomal RNA", at positions 524 to 776 of the family's 1533-position model. The record is from RNAcentral.
UACGUAGGGGGCUAGCGUUGUCCGGAAUCAUUGGGCGUAAAGCGCGUGUAGGCGGCCCCGAUAAGUCCGCUGUGAAAGUCCAGGGCUCAACCCUGGGAUGCCGGUGGAUACUGUCGGGCUCGAGUCCGGAAGAGGCGAGUGGAAUUCCUGGUGUAGCGGUGAAAGUGCGCAGAUAUCAGGAGGAACACCAAUGGCGAAGGCAGCUCGCUGGGACGUGACUGACGCUGAGACGCGAAAGCGUGGGGAGCAAACAGG